GUGGCGGACGGGUGAGUAACACGUGGGUAACCUGCCCUAAAGUGGGGGAUAACAUUUGGAAACAGAUGCUAAUACCGCAUAAAACCUAACACCGCAUGGUGUAGGGUUGAAAGAUGGUUUCGGCUAUCACUUUAGGAUGGACCCGCGGUGCAUUAGUUAGUUGGUGAGGUAAAGGCUCACCAAGACCGUGAUGCAUAGCCGACCUGAGAGGGUAAUCGGCCACACUGGGACUGAGACACGGCCCAGACUCCUACGGGAGGCAGCAGUAGGGAAUCUUCCACAAUGGACGAAAGUCUGAUGGAGCAACGCCGCGUGAGUGAAGAAGGUUUUCGGAUCGUAAAACUCUGUUGU
RNAcentral lists this ribosomal RNA (351 nucleotides) under Latilactobacillus sakei. Its description in RNAcentral is "bacterial SSU rRNA". It matches the Rfam family "Bacterial small subunit ribosomal RNA", at positions 95 to 439 of the family's 1533-position model. Lineage: Bacteria; Bacillati; Bacillota; Bacilli; Lactobacillales; Lactobacillaceae. The record is from RNAcentral.